UCGGGUUGUAAAGCACUUUUGUCCGGAAGAAAACCUCUGGGUUAAUACCCCGGGGGGAUGACGGUACCGGAAGAAUAAGCAUCGGCAACUACGUGCCAGCAGCCGCGGUAAUACGUAGGGUGCAAGCGUUAAUCGGAAUUACUGGGCGUAAAGCGUGCGCAGGCGGUCCGCUAAGACAGAUGUGAAAUCCCCGGGCUUAACCUGGGAACUGCAUUUGUGACUGGCGGGCUAGAGUAUGGCAGAGGGGGGUAGAAUUCCACGUGUAGCAGUGAAAUGCGUAGAGAUGUGGAGGAAUACCGAUGGCGAAGGCAGCCCCCUGGGCCAAUACUGACGCUCAUGCACGAAAGCGUGGGGAGCAAACAGGAUUAGAUACCCUGGUAGUCCACGCCCUAAACGAUGUCAACUAGUUGUCGGGUCUUCAUUGACUUGGUAACGUAGCUAACGCGUGAAGUUGACCGCCUGGGGAGUACGGUCGCAAGAUUAAAACUCAAAGGAAUUGACGGGGACCCGCACAAGCGGUGGAUGAUGUGGAUUAAUUCGAUGCAACGCGAAAAACCUUACCUACCCUUGACAUGUAUGGAAUCCUGCUG
Molecule: ribosomal RNA, 590 nt
Filed under: uncultured Burkholderia sp.
Lineage: Bacteria; Pseudomonadati; Pseudomonadota; Betaproteobacteria; Burkholderiales; Burkholderiaceae
Description: bacterial SSU rRNA
Rfam family: Bacterial small subunit ribosomal RNA
Source: RNAcentral